AAGUCGUAACAAGGUUUCCGUAGGUGAACCUGCGGAAGGAUCAUUAACACGUAUCCAACGUUAAACAACCCUGUGAACUUUAAGUCCCCAUGACCGGUAAAUCAUUGCCAAACAGUUUUGAUUCGGCUGUCCAAAAGGACCCCAAGCAGUUAGUGAAUGACAGUGUCACUGACUGUGUAAGGAUAACGCCUCACGGUUGCUAGACGACCGGCAGACAUGUCACAGGGUCACCACCUUAAUCACUCCACUUGAAAAUGCCCCGCCUAGUGGUAACGCGCUAGGUAAAAAAAACCGAACAACUGUUAACAAUGGAUAUCUUGGUUCUC
RNAcentral lists this unclassified non-coding RNA (326 nucleotides) under fungal sp. Its description in RNAcentral is "partial internal transcribed spacer region". The stretch from base 1 to 46 matches the Rfam family "Eukaryotic small subunit ribosomal RNA", at positions 1786 to 1831 of the family's 1831-position model. The record is from RNAcentral. Lineage: Eukaryota; Fungi.